This 245-nucleotide long non-coding RNA is filed under the name Lathyrus oleraceus (garden pea). RNAcentral's name for it is "Pisum sativum (pea) long non-coding RNA (PSAT_LNC029922)". Lineage: Eukaryota; Viridiplantae; Streptophyta; Magnoliopsida; Fabales; Fabaceae. The record is from RNAcentral.
CUUUGGGAGAUUAUGAUUUGAGACCUUGAGAUUCAUCUUAUACCUUUGACUUUGGACUUCUCUAUGAAGACUUAGCUUGGUUAUUUUUGUUUCAUCUGAUGCAUAAUUAUUCUUUGCUUAUUUGGCUUGCUUGAGGCUUAAUCCAAAAGAGGGAAUUCUUGAUUUAUUUAUGUCAUAAAGCUUGAUAUCUCUUGGUUAGAUCUUUUCUCACUAGCUUUUACUUUACACUAUAGGAUAGUCUCUUC